This 127-nucleotide small RNA is filed under the name Marmota monax (woodchuck). The record is from RNAcentral. Lineage: Eukaryota; Metazoa; Chordata; Mammalia; Rodentia; Sciuridae.
GCUGGGGGUGGUGGUGCAUGCCUGUAAUCCCAGCAGCUCGGGAGGCAGAGGCAGGAGGAUCUUAAGUUCAAAGCCAGACUCAGCAAUUUAGCAAGGUGCUAAGCAACUCAGUAAGAACCUGUCUCUA